AAGGCUUACGGUGGAUACCUAGGCACCCAGAGAUGAGGAAGGGCGUAGUAAUCGACGAAAUGCUUCGGGGAGUUGAAAAUAAGCAUAGAUCUGGAGAUUCCCGAAUAGGGCAUCCUUUCGAACUGCUGCUGAAUUCAUGGGCAGGCAAGAGACA
Molecule: ribosomal RNA, 154 nt
Filed under: Olea europaea subsp. europaea
Lineage: Eukaryota; Viridiplantae; Streptophyta; Magnoliopsida; Lamiales; Oleaceae
Description: 5_8S_rRNA
Rfam family: Bacterial large subunit ribosomal RNA
Source: RNAcentral